RNAcentral lists this long non-coding RNA (740 nucleotides) under Bos indicus x Bos taurus (hybrid cattle). Its description in RNAcentral is "lncRNA (ENSBIXG00005031348.1)". Lineage: Eukaryota; Metazoa; Chordata; Mammalia; Artiodactyla; Bovidae. The record is from RNAcentral.
CCUACAAUGUGCUUCUCAGAAACUGGUUUCCUUGAAUAGAUAUGUUUGGGAAAUAAUGAAAAAGACAUAUUCCUUCUGGGCAUUCACACCCGACAGUAGCCUAUGAAAGGCUCUGAUAAGUUCUGCAUUAAAAAAAAAAUCUUAAUUUAAAGCAUUUCCCACAUAUAUUUGACUGGAGACCCUCAAUUUUGGGGGGACAAAAAUCUAAUAAUAUUUUUCAGCAAUGUUUUAAGGGGCAUAAUUUGAGGGGAAAAAAUAAGACCUAACCCAAUCUCUUUUUUUUUUUUUUUUACAACAAAACAAAACAAAACACACACUUGAAGCUCAGAAUGAGGACUUGACUUCCUCAAGAUCAAAGAGCUUGUGAGGAAGUUACAGCCUGCACCAGAUCCUACGGAAUGUGCACAUUUCUCUAAACAUCUCAGCUGGGAUCAUCAUCCCCUGGAGCAUGCGGAUUUAGAAGCUGGCUGGAGUAUGGCUUGAAGAGAAACAUGCAAGGACUCUUGCGGGUCUUUGAACUGAAGAUCCCAACGGACGGAGGAGAAGUGGCUCAGAAGGGCUCUUGAGCAUCUAAUCCAUUUGCGGCUGUCACUGCCUCCUGGCUUUAUAAAAUAAAGGACAACAUGAAGCCUGUGAAAGAUGCCAUCCAUCCUUCUGGUGGCCCCAAAGUCCAAGCCCACUAGACUCUGCGAAUUGCCCAUCAUGGAGGAGGAGGCCCUGAAGUUUCCAACUUUAUCCUU